GAUGAAGAACGUAGCAAAAUGCGAUAAGUAAUGUGAAUUGCAGAAUUCAGUGAAUCAUCGAAUCUUUGAACGCACAUUGCGCCCGCUGGUAUUCCGGCGGGCAUGCCUGUUCGAGCGUCAUUUCAACCCUCAAGCCCCCGGGUUUGGUGUUGGGGAUCGGCUCUGCCCUUCUGGGCGGUGCCGCCCCCGAAAUACAUUGGCGGUCUCGCUGCAGCCUCCAUUGCGUAGUAGCUAACACCUCGCAACUGGAACGCGGCGCGGCCAUGCCGUAAAACCCCAACUUCUGAAUGUUGACCUCGGAUCAGGUAGGAAUACCCGCUGAACUUAAGCAUACCAAUAAGCGGAGGA
Molecule: unclassified non-coding RNA, 348 nt
Filed under: soil metagenome
Description: partial contains 5.8S ribosomal RNA, internal transcribed spacer 2, and large subunit ribosomal RNA
Rfam family: 5.8S ribosomal RNA (bases 1-120)
Source: RNAcentral